Molecule: unclassified non-coding RNA, 400 nt
Filed under: soil metagenome
Description: partial contains 5.8S ribosomal RNA, internal transcribed spacer 2, and large subunit ribosomal RNA
Rfam family: 5.8S ribosomal RNA (bases 1-120)
Source: RNAcentral
GAUGAAGAACGUAGUGAAAUGCGAUACUUGGUGUGAAUUGCAGAAUCCCGUGAACCAUCGAGUUUUUGAACGCAAGUUGCGCCCGAAGCCUCGGCUAAGGGCACGUCUGCCUGGGCGUCACGCAUCGCGUCUCCCCCAAACCGCCAAGGCGGAGGGGAAGGAAGAUGGCUUCCCGUGCCUCACCCGGGCGCGGUUGGCCUAAAUUUGGAGCCCGCGGCACUUAGCUCUCGCGGCGAUAGGUGGUGAACAAGGCCUUGGCCGUGCAAACAACCCGCUGCGAAGCUCUAUGUCACGUGCGCUCGUCGGACCCUUUGAAGUUGCCUUUGGUGACUUAAAACCUUUGCGACCCCAGGUCAGGCGGGGCUACCCGCUGAAUUUAAGCAUAUCAAUAAGCGGAGGA